GAUCCUGGCUACAGAACGAACGCCGGCGGCAGGCCUAACACAUGCAAGUCGAGCGAGCAUUUCGGUGCUAGCGGCGGACGGGUUAGUAACGCGUGGGAACGUGCCCUUUGCUACGGAAUAGUCCUGGGAAACUGGGGGUAAUACCGUAUGUGCCCUUCGGGGGAAAGAUUUAUCGGCAAAGGAUCGGCCCGCGUUGGAUUAGGUAGUUGGUGGGGUAAUGGCCUACCAAGCCGACGAUCCAUAGCUGGUUUGAGAGGAUGAUCAGCAACACUGGGACUGAGACACGGCCCAGACUCCUACGGGAGGCGGCAGUGGGGAAUCUUAGACAAUGGGCGCAAGCCUGAUCUAGCCAUGCCGCGUGGACGAUGAAGGCCUUAGGGUUGUAAAGUCCUUUCAGCUGGGAAGAUAAUGACGGUACCAGCAGAAGAAGCCCCGGCUAACUCCGUG
This 447-nucleotide ribosomal RNA is filed under the name uncultured bacterium. RNAcentral's name for it is "bacterial SSU rRNA". It matches the Rfam family "Bacterial small subunit ribosomal RNA", at positions 15 to 507 of the family's 1533-position model. The record is from RNAcentral.